This 253-nucleotide ribosomal RNA is filed under the name uncultured bacterium. Its description in RNAcentral is "partial 16S ribosomal RNA". It matches the Rfam family "Bacterial small subunit ribosomal RNA", at positions 524 to 776 of the family's 1533-position model. The record is from RNAcentral.
UACGUAGGGGGCAAGCGUUGUCCGGAUUUACUGGGCGUAAAGGGCGCGUAGGCGGCGCAACAAGUCACUUGUGAAAUCUCCGGGCUUAACCCGGAGCGGCCAAGUGAUACUGUCGUGCUAGAGUGCGGAAGGGGCUACUGGAAUUCUCGGUGUAGCGGUGAAAUGCGUAGAUAUCGAGAGGAACACCUGCGGCGAAGGCGGGUAGCUGGGCCGACACUGACGCUGAUGCGCGAAAGCCAGGGGAGCGAACGGG